Molecule: unclassified non-coding RNA, 315 nt
Filed under: Hevea brasiliensis (rubber tree)
Lineage: Eukaryota; Viridiplantae; Streptophyta; Magnoliopsida; Malpighiales; Euphorbiaceae
Source: RNAcentral
CCAAACACUGUUCAUUUGGUCAUUUCUGCUCAGGUCCAGGACACUAAUUCCUGAUUUAAGUAAUUUUUAGACCAACUUAUGGCUAGUUUUUUUAUCAAGGUUUCUUCAUGAAAAAUGUGGCCUUAAGUCUUAUGUUUCAUCUCCAAUUGGCUUCACACCAAUUGGAAUUGUGUAACUCUAAUUAUGGCCAUUCAAAUCCACUGGACUCAAAGGCCCAUAAUUCAGCAGUUCAAUAACCAUUAAUUUUCUCAAUUCCAUCUAUCAAUUCUCAUUUCUAAACACACUAAAUGGCCAUAAUUUGUUAUGGAAAGUCAA